RNAcentral lists this non-coding RNA (25 nucleotides) under Arabidopsis thaliana (thale cress). The record is from RNAcentral. Lineage: Eukaryota; Viridiplantae; Streptophyta; Magnoliopsida; Brassicales; Brassicaceae. RNAcentral also lists the same sequence under 1 other name.
GACGUCGGCGGGGGCCUCGGGAAGA